AUGGUUUAAGACUCAUGAAUUCA
This 23-nucleotide non-coding RNA is filed under the name Arabidopsis thaliana (thale cress). Lineage: Eukaryota; Viridiplantae; Streptophyta; Magnoliopsida; Brassicales; Brassicaceae. The record is from RNAcentral.